UGAGGAUGUUAGCUCUCAGAUACUGCUCCAGUGGCCAUGUCUACUGCCGUUCUCACCACCAUGAUCUUCAAGAAUUCAGCCUCUGAAGCUAUGCCAGACUGUAGAAGAGCACAGAAAUCACAAGUGAGGAAAAAAUACAGGAGUGAUAACCUGACCAAAUAGAGGAGAACAAACCUGCCAUAGUAGGCUCUGUGAAUGCCUAAGCUCUUCCUGUGAUCAAAGACCGCACGUACCUGUACAUGCUGAAGACAGUAUUGCCAUUGUGCAUAAGGUACACGUACACUUCCUCCACGUCCUCGUGCUUCAUCAUGCUGAAGGUGAAGAAAUACACACCUGUAAGGACAAGGAUUUACUCAUUUACUCAUCCGUAGAAGAUGAGUCAAGCGAUUGCACACAUGAUUUUGUUGUAUUUGUGUAUUGUGUAGUUUCAUGGUCUGUUCAUA
Molecule: long non-coding RNA, 443 nt
Organism: Chionomys nivalis (European snow vole)
Lineage: Eukaryota; Metazoa; Chordata; Mammalia; Rodentia; Cricetidae
Exons: 3
Source: RefSeq, a predicted model, not a curated record